UAAAUUACACUUUAACACAAAGUUUAAAAACAUAAAUUUAAAAUUAUAAUAAUAUAUCACAAUAUUUCAGUUUUCCUGUAUUUUGAUCGAAUGAAUUCAGUCUUGGUGAGCAUGAGACUUCAUUCAAAAAUUCAUUCAUUCAACAAAAACUCCCAACUUUUGAAGAAUAGCGUGCACGCAACUUUACUGUUUGACAAAAUAACACCUGCGACCUUAAAACAAUCACAAAAAUGGAGAACACAACUUGACAGCUCAAAUAUUACACAAGCAAUAGAAAAUGUGCCCAAUUUAAUUCCAUUGUAGGUUACCUUACUUUAGUUUCCUUUUGUUAUAUAUAAAACAAAGGGGCGAAUCAAAUUUUCAUUGUUGUAGCAAUCCACAUUCUGCAACAAAUGUUGUGGAUUGAGCUUUACUUCUAUUAAACAAUCAAUAUUAUUUAAACCUAGAAUCUUAAAGUCUGUUUGUGAACCUUACAGUAGUAUAAUAUGGCUAAUUGGAAUAAUGCACACAAGUCUUAUGGACAACUUUUAUAGUAGGUGACUUUUAAAUCAGCUUGAUCAUCAUAUGCUUCUGUUAUAUGGAAGACAGCAGCACGAGCAUUCUUCAAACCAUCUCCUUCGGUGCUCCACUGAAAACAAGAUAAUCUAAAACACCUGGAACAGCAGGAGGAUGAGUAAACGAUGAGAGAACUUUCAUUUCAGGUUGAACUAAAGUGUUAGAAAUAAAUAGCCAUUAAACAGGGCAAACAAUCCUGAUUCAUGGCAUGUUGUGGCAUGAACGUCUUGUCGUGGCCUAUGACAAGGAUUUAACAGAUGGAAACAGCCAAGGAAAUGUGUCAUAUACAAAAGCUGACAAGACAGCAGAUUGUCUAGGGAGAGCCUCAAGGCAGCUUUGUGGAAGGUUCACACACACACACACACAAACACAUUUCGGACAUGUGGGGCUCUGUUGGGAACCAGUGCUCGCUAAUGAAGUGAGUGUGUGAGAAAACAUGUCACACACACACACACGAUUCCCACAAAGACAUAAUAGAAGCAAUUCUGUCCACCUUCGGAGGAGGGUUUCAGUGCUCACUUCCUGUCUGGAAGCAUGACAUUUUCCAUUGUAUGACCCCCUAUUUUUACUCAGUCCUACUUCAAAUUCUCAGCUGACUAAUGAUGACAAACUUGCACUCCUUUUCCGAAGCGGUUGUGAAUACACUCUUUAUCAUCCUACCGAUGCACGUUAAACUUGUCCCAGAUCAGAGUAAAAGCCAGUAAGAACCUUGUCUAGAGUAUAAAGGAGUUUUCUGCCCUUUCUGUAAAUACAGUCAAGCUUUCAUUCAAAGAGAGGAAGUCAGACCGUUCCUGGGGAUCAAAACAAGGGCAUAGUAUGUGGAAGCCUGUGGGAUACAAGGCCAUGCAUCUUCUGAAGAACCACGCUCUCGGGAGAGAAUGCAGUGAAUCUGUGGCAAAGCAAAUGACUCCCAGUGGAAGUUAUGGGGGAGGAUGCUGCACUAAUGCUGAUCUGAGAACAGCUCUGCAGCCCUCGUGGUAAGGGGAUUGAGAAAUGGGCCCAUGUUAAACAAGCUCUUCAAAACAUGAAGCCUCAACUACUGAAGAAUGUCAAGGCUGUUGAAAUGUACAAUCAAUUCAGAAUGAUGUUGGAUUGGCUAAAAACUUUAAUAAAAAAAAAAGUGUUAAAAGUUGAA
This is a long non-coding RNA of Carassius auratus (goldfish), 1690 nucleotides long. RefSeq lists it as uncharacterized. The transcript has 2 exons. NCBI's taxonomy places the organism in Eukaryota, Metazoa, Chordata, Actinopteri, Cypriniformes, Cyprinidae. The record is from RefSeq and is a predicted model, not a curated record.